Long non-coding RNA from Apus apus (common swift), 649 nucleotides. RefSeq lists it as uncharacterized. The transcript has 3 exons. The record is from RefSeq and is a predicted model, not a curated record. Lineage: Eukaryota; Metazoa; Chordata; Aves; Apodiformes; Apodidae.
UUCAGGAAGAAAAAAAAUAAAUAAGAAGCCUUCAAAUGUACAGUGGAUUCCUGAACUUGGUUUAAAAUUCAUCCUCUCACUCUGAUUGCUACAGGGAGUAGAAGUGCCCAACAACAGUAAAGGAAGGAGAAUCUCAGCUGGGGAUUUCUGUCAGACUAACAUAAACAUCCUUAAGUACGAGCAACAUCCACUAAGCCUAUACCUUUGCUGUGGCAGAAUUCACCAAAUCCACCCGGGUGUGAGCCUUCCGGAGCACAUGGUGACUCCCUGAAGAGUUAGUGAAGAUUUCCACACCAUCAAGUCCCAUUUCAAUAUGAGGGCUGUCAAAGCAAAAGGCAAUACCGCGCUGGGAAUCCUGCAGUUGUACAGGGCUGUGUAUGUUUGGGAAAAACAACCUUCAUACUUUCUGUGAAAUUAUUCAGAAACAUGAAGAUCAACAGCCAGCAACAUCCCCCUGCUUCAGAAAUGCAUGGUAGACAAUGCUCCAUCCUAGCUAUGAACAAGACCUAACAAAGAACACAAUGUGCAAGCCAAAUACCAAAUGAAAGUUUAUCUUUUUUGCAGUGUUACUACACAAGUAACUCAGAUUGACUGGGGUUAAGAAGACAGAUUUUCAGGGGCUCUCUAAGAAUUAAUUUACUGAGACCAC